This is a long non-coding RNA of Cataglyphis hispanica, 573 nucleotides long. RefSeq lists it as uncharacterized. NCBI's taxonomy places the organism in Eukaryota, Metazoa, Arthropoda, Insecta, Hymenoptera, Formicidae. The transcript has 4 exons. The record is from RefSeq and is a predicted model, not a curated record.
UAUUACGACAAUAACAUGAUGUACGGCCUUGUCAACGUAAACAUUAGCAUGCUUUUGUUUAUGUACGAUUUAUGGAUUGUUAUCAUUCGCACGGCAGCAUUCAAACGCACAAUUUCCCUAGACUCUUUUUUAAUACGCACAGCCAAGAUAUCUGAUGCUUUAUUAAAAAUUAUUAGCAAGUCAUCAAUAAGUCGGCGAACAAGCGUGCUCGACAUGAAAUGGAUGAUGACAAGCAAAAGUAUCGUUGCUGCGUAAUCUCGAUGGCACUUUUCGUUCAGACAUCCUAAUGUCAAAAGAGCGGCUGGAGGUAGAGGAAUGUGAGGGGACACGUCCGGUAAUCGCCAUCGUCCUAAUUCAUCGCACCAGGUUGCCGCCGCUCUCACUGCCGCGAUAUCUCGAAAGGGACAUCCUGGACGAAGAUAAGUGCUCGUUCGAUGAAUCCUCGCAUGGUGAACGAUUUUCCGCAGCCAGUUUGUCCAUAAGCAAACACGGUACCAUUAUAACCCUCCAGCACAGCCUCGACAAUGACUGAGCCCACAUUUUCGUAAACCGAUUCCGUUGUAGCGGAUGGGC